UAUUUUUCAUUGAACAAUAAAAAUAAAUUUAACUGGUAUAGUUUAAAUUCCAAUGAAUAG
RNAcentral lists this transfer RNA (60 nucleotides) under Dracunculus medinensis (Guinea worm). RNAcentral's name for it is "tRNA-Tyr". Lineage: Eukaryota; Metazoa; Nematoda; Chromadorea; Rhabditida; Dracunculidae. The record is from RNAcentral.